AGGUUGCAAUAAAGAUGUUCAGCCUGAAGAAGAGGAUUUGCUGAAGGUUCUAAAAGAUAUUCCUACAUUGACUGAUGAAUAUGGCAACGAUUCCCCUGAUGAAGGAGAUGAAGAUGAUGUGGAGAUGGCCAGAGUUUGUAGAGCUGACAGAACUUGUCAAUUUGGCAAUGAUACCAUCGCCUCUCCUCCAGACAAUGACAAUGAUGAUAUAGAGACAGUAGUAGAUACUCUUUCAUUGGCUGA
Molecule: long non-coding RNA, 243 nt
Organism: Corticium candelabrum
Lineage: Eukaryota; Metazoa; Porifera; Homoscleromorpha; Homosclerophorida; Plakinidae
Exons: 3
Source: RefSeq, a predicted model, not a curated record